ACAAGACAAAGUGCUGGUAGGUCCCACCCAGCAGCAAUGAGGAGCGGACCACACACCUGCCCAGCACUGAGCCCACGGACCCCUCCAAGGUCAACCACGUGGCUCUCCACAUUGGCACAUCAGAGGGUCAAAACACGUGACUUCAAUGAAUGCAGGGAAAAACACUAACGAAAGAAAAUUCAAUACUCCCUAUCAUAGAUAGAAACGAACCAGGCCAAGAACAAAGUGGGACUUCCUGAAGCUCAUGUGGGCCACCGCCACACCCACAGCUGCAGUCGGACUGUGGGUGGAGUACGAGUGCUCCCCCUGCUGGUGAGCGGGGCAAGGCUGUCUCUGUGUCCUGCACCUGGCGCGAGAGAUGACGGCCAAUGCAAUAGAGCAAGACAAGUGGGCACGGGAGGGGUCUGAGAGCCUGCUGCUCCUGAGCGGCUGGCUUCCACACUAGUGCCCACCUCUCCACCUGGCCCUGGGCUGUGGGGGCAGCCGUGCCCUUCAUGGAAGCGGGGCAGACUGCCAAGGGCCAGGGGCAGGAAGGUCAGGCAAGUGCAGUAGCUGGAAGGAGCCAGGAGAUGCUGUGAUGUGGGAUUUCUCAUGUCCCUGGACACCCGGACCAGAGGGGCACCCCGGGGCCACUGGUGCGCACCAUGUCCUGCGGUCACUGGGGGUCUGUAGGAGAACGUCAUGAGGCCUGGAGGACACACAGACAUGGUGACUCCCACCUACCCCCGCUUUGGUUCCAAAACCCCCCCUAGAGAAAGGGCGAGAGUGUGGGAUAAAGGAAAUGGGACAAGAAGUAAGUGCUCAGCAGCUGGGAUAAGAGUUUCCAGAAAGUUCCCUCUCUAUUCUUGCAUCUUUAAUUUUCUUCUAAGUUUUGAAUUAUUUCAAAAUAAAUCACUGGAAAAAAUGAGAAGAGUUAAGUUGGGAAAUAAAUAAAUGUUACUUCAAAAGGAAGUGACCAUAUGUUCACAAUCAGAGCAAGUGGCUCCAAGCCCGAGUUCACGGGUGGCUCGCUGUCGG
Molecule: long non-coding RNA, 1017 nt
Filed under: Marmota monax (woodchuck)
Lineage: Eukaryota; Metazoa; Chordata; Mammalia; Rodentia; Sciuridae
Source: RNAcentral